AUAAGCAUGGUGCACAGAGGAAGUCCUUGUCCUCCCUGAAGCGUCGACCCCGUAACCUCCCUGACAAACUGGCUGACUGACAGUGACAGCAGCGAUUCACUUUGAAGUGUGGAGUCAAGUCUCCUCUUUGUCUGCCCGAGGAGAGCGUGAUGGCGCACUUGACUGCGCGAGGGCGUACAUUUGUGCCCGCAGCGUGUGGACGCAGGCGCUGACUCGGCCUUUUUCCUUUCAGACACUCUGUAUAUAUUAUCCCUUUGUGAGAGCCCAAGCUGCUCUGCAUCUCUAAUGUGAGAAAAGUCUUCCAGGGACUGAGGACACCACAGCAUCCUCUGAUCCUGCGACGCGGGGCUUGUUUGGACCAUCAGAGGUUCUAAUCCUGAGCUUUAGUCUGAGUGAGACUAAGAUAAAGAGGGAUUAGGGACGGAUCUUUAUGGUCUCAGGAGGCUCCUCUUCAUCCUCUUCAUCCUGCUGCUCUGAGAUCAGCUGCUCUCAGUCUCACAUGUUUGAUGAGCUGGAUGCCAUAGCUCCGCCUUCAACCUCCGCCUUGUCCCUGGAUCAGUUAAUGGACUCAUCAGGCAGACACUCACCUGGCACAGAUUUGUCUCCAGGUCUGGCCGCUCUCACCGUCGCCUGUGACUCAGGGAAUCUGGGCUCGUUGUCCCGGGUCCAGCUGCUGCUCCUGGACCGAGCCGUCCUGGACUCUGGAACAUCACCGCCGAGCCUGGAGAAGGAGGAGGAGGAGGAGGAGGAGGAGCUCCGUCCAGGAUGGAGCUCAGGGAGUUUAGGUUCCCAUACAGACGAACGGGACAAAGAUUCAGCGGGAGGUGAGGGGCCCGAACACCGCGAGGUGCUGAGCGUGCUCGCCAAGCUGCAGCAGGAGACGCCACGUCAGGGCCAGGAGGGCCACAAGAGCCGGGAGGGCCACAACAGCCAGGAGGGCCACAACAGCCAGGAGGGCCACAACAGCCAGGAGGGCCACAAGAGUCAGGAGGGCCACAAGAGCCAGGAGGGCCACAAGAGUCAGGAGGGCCACAACAGCCAGGAGGGCCACAAGAGUCAGGAGGGCCACAAGAGUCAGGAGGGCCACAAGAGCCAGGAGGGCCACAAGAGCCAUGAGGGCCACAAGAGCCAGGAGGGCCGGGAACGCUCCAACUUUGAGGAUUUCGACUUUCUGUCCAAGUUUUGUAUCUUCAGCGGAGAGAAGUUAGCGGAGUACAGCAGAGUGUUCCAGACUGUGGACUUGGACCAGGACGGGUUCCUCUCUUUCCCACAGGUUUUAGAGGCACUUAAACGCAUCGUUCCAGCUGAGCUGCUGUCUGAUGAUGAACAGGUUUACGUCUACAGGAUCCUAGAGAUGGUUGACUUCAGGGUGAUGGAUGGACUGGUCGACCUCAGGCUGUUUGCCGUCAUCUCCAGCCUGGCUGAGAAGAUCUCAUCUAUGGAAUGGUCCUGUCUCCACAUGACUGUUCUUCAAUGUUCAUGUCUGUGUUCAACCACCUUCAGCUACAGUGGGGGUCCCCGCUCUCUGGGACCUUUAUUUUGGGGGUCGUGGCUUGAAAAGGUUGAGAACCACUGGUGUAGCGUCCAGAACUCAGACGGCAGCACAAAACGAGAGGACGUAAAUCAGGACAGCCUCAGCCUGGCUGAAAGGAAGCUCUCAGUCCAGACCUUGACCAACAGGACGUCCGUGGUCCUGUUGUGGUCCAGAGCCACAGACACUCAUAGGAGAUCACAGAUGCACAGAUUGUGGAAAAGGUGCUGAAAUGGGUGAAGAGUUGCAUAGAAGAGUGAAAAUAGGCUGGAAAUAUGAGGUUAAAAGUGACAAUAAUGGGUCAACAUAUGUGUCAUUAGGUAAAAAAGUGGUAGAAAGGUUUUUAUAAGUGCUGAAAAUGUCUGGAAAGUAGAAAAAAUGUGCAGAAAAGACAUUGAAAUGUGAUGGAGAAAUGUCAGAAAUGGGAGAAAUGUAGCAAAAAUACAUUAAAAGGAGCAAAAAUACAUUAAAAGGAGCAAAAAUAUGACAAGAAAAAGUGAUGAAAAUUGGUUAAAAUAUAGAAAGUUUGGUGUAGUUGCAGAAAAACGGUAAAAAUAAACAAAAAUUAGCUCAAAUUGUUCA
RNAcentral lists this long non-coding RNA (2113 nucleotides) under Gouania willdenowi (blunt-snouted clingfish). RNAcentral's name for it is "lncRNA (ENSGWIG00000001094.1)". The record is from RNAcentral. Lineage: Eukaryota; Metazoa; Chordata; Actinopteri; Blenniiformes; Gobiesocidae.